CUGACAUCAGCCAGGCAGGACAGAGGUGCAACACAACCUCAGAGACACCCCCUUUUAUGGAUGGCUUUGUGGGAGGCCAUCCCAAAGAUCUUGGCACGAAGCCUUGUCUGACCUCAGGCAUGCCAUGGUGGGGAACCUGCUGGCAGAGUCCCCAGAUACAGAGAGUCUGUCAAUGUCUGCAGCAGGCUCAGAGAGUCUCAGGAGAGAGCCAAGGCCAUAAGGAAUAGUAGAACCACAUUCUGAUUCACCAUCCUUCUCCUUGAAUGUGAGAACUCAGCACAGUUCUCUGAACUUGGCGGCUUAGCUGAAACUGUCCAUCAGUGACUCAGCUAAGGACAUCAGCUGGCUGGCCAGCGAGGCGAUUUACCAGCUCUCCAAAGUACUGCUCUGCUAGAGUCCUUUAGGUACGAUGGAAUCUCUAGCUGCUUCACUGUGGGAGCUUUCUGCCAGUUUUGAGCUGCCUGAGAACUCAUUGAAAUUACAUAGAACCGGUUUAAUCUUUCCAAUUGAAACAUGGGUCCAGGACUACGAGGAUUAAGUUUUGGUGUCCUAUUGAGGGGCUCUGGGAGAAGCCUUGGGCCUGCUGAUCUGUGAAAGAUGAAUGUGAUGUGGUUUGAUUUAGAAGGAACAUGCUGGUGGCCCAUAUGAGAACUGGGUGAAGAGAUGCUGAAGAGGUGAGCUGGGAGAAGCCAGCUUGGACCAGUUACAGCUGGACUUGAGGGACUGAAUUUUUAAGUGACUUAGCCAUGGAAAACCCAGAUAGUCUCCUUCCUGCUGGUCAGUCUAAGGGGAAGAGUUAUCACCCAGCUCUUGUGGCUCUGAGCACCUGAGGUUCUGUACACCUGGGACUCAUGCCCCAAGGAGGAGCCUAUAAUAGAGGCCUUGAGCUUGUCUUUAACAUUCAGUGCUGCCUUGAUACUACUGUGCUGCUUUAGUGAAGAUACUACUAUGAUGGGUCUGAGAACUUCUUCUAUCUGUGUAGUUCAUCCCCUCCCCCCCCCCAA
Non-coding RNA from Pelodiscus sinensis (Chinese soft-shelled turtle), 1004 nucleotides. The record is from RefSeq and is a predicted model, not a curated record. NCBI's taxonomy places the organism in Eukaryota, Metazoa, Chordata, Testudines, Trionychidae.